Gambusia affinis (western mosquitofish) is the source of this 510-nucleotide long non-coding RNA. RefSeq lists it as uncharacterized. The record is from RefSeq and is a predicted model, not a curated record. The transcript has 4 exons. NCBI's taxonomy places the organism in Eukaryota, Metazoa, Chordata, Actinopteri, Cyprinodontiformes, Poeciliidae.
CUCUGCGUCUCGGAGGCGGUGUUCGGUUCCCCUCAGCUUUUUGAAUGGUUACCAUGGGAGAUUAAGGCAUUUCUCAAAUAUGCCUGAAAGAAUCAACACAUCACUCCAGGUCGUGAAAAAUGCUCUGCAGGCCAAAGGGGGGGAGGGGCAGAGUAUUUUGAAUGAAUAUGAUGGUGACACACACAGGCUAAGAAAAACAGGCAUUCUUCUGUUGGUUCAUGUGCUUCUUCCUACGUCCAAAGGCCACAAGUAAAAUGCCAAAAGAGCUCAUGUCAAAUCGUGGACCAUGUUGUUGGAUAUAUGCAGUCAAAGAUGGGAGCCAGAAUUAAAGCCUUCCUCAUUGGUGUGGAACCAGGACAGCCCUUCCUCCUGCAUGUUGGUGAAAACAAGAGCAGCACCAAAGACACUUCACCAUUAGAGAUCACAAGACCAUAAAUGCAAAAAAAGUUCUAUGCAUAUGAAUAGUUUUUGCAAGGUACUAUGAUGUCAGUGACCAUUAUAUUUACUUGC